RNAcentral lists this ribosomal RNA (274 nucleotides) under uncultured bacterium. RNAcentral's name for it is "partial 16S ribosomal RNA". It matches the Rfam family "Bacterial small subunit ribosomal RNA", at positions 523 to 796 of the family's 1533-position model. The record is from RNAcentral.
AUACGAACUGUGCAAACGUUAUUCGGAAUCACUGGGCUUAAAGGGUGCGUAGGCGGUUCGACAAGUCAGGUGUGAAAUCUCUCGGCUCAACCGAGAAACUGCGCUUGAAACUGUCGAACUUGAGAGGGAUAGGGGUGAGCGGAACUGCUGGUGGAGCGGUGAAAUGUGUUGAGAUCAGCAGGAACGCCGGUGGCGAAAGCGGCUCACUGGGUCUUUUCUGACGCUGAGGCACGAAAGCUAGGGUAGCGAACGGGAUUAGAAACCCCGGUAGUCC